Molecule: small RNA, 392 nt
Filed under: Histoplasma capsulatum
Lineage: Eukaryota; Fungi; Ascomycota; Eurotiomycetes; Onygenales; Ajellomycetaceae
Also listed under: 1 other name
Description: hypothetical RNA
Source: RNAcentral
AGGUGGGUCGUUCCCAUGGGAGUAUGCAAGUCCAAAUCGAAAGGCCUAGUCCGAUCUUGCCUACGCUCAGUCCUUCGCAAUCCAAUUAGCACCCAUUUUCAGCUCAGUUGCCGUUCUCUUUUCUGCGCGUCCUCAAGCGUUGGGCUUCGGCUGAAGUGGUCAUAGGAUGACAGUUUGUUCCUUACAGUUUCUGUCGUUCCUUUCAUUUCUCGCUUGCUUUGCUGGUAUUAAUGAAAUCGUUUUGCCUAAUGUUGAUUCUGGAUAACCGAAUGGCCACAUAAUGUAGUGGUGCCCCUAAUAUUAAUGGGGUUCGGUUUUAUGGCAUUAAGUUAUCGGCUACAUGUAAUCGGGUACCUCCGAUAUGGGUCCUCAAAAUAUAUGAUACAAAACUG